AAAAUUAUAUGUGGUUUAUUUGCUAUGCAGUAGUCGGUACCUGUAUAAAUUUUCUCUUUUGUGUUACACAAUCAUAAAUGUUCUUAUGCCACUGAAAAGUAUUGCACAUGUAUUUUAUAUUAAUAGAGCAUAGCUGUUAAUUUAAGAACAAAUAGAAGUGUUUAAGUUGGAGAAGACGAGUUUUUCAAUUACAAAUCCGCAACAAAGGAAUUAUUAAAGGAUAUACAAAAGUUGCCACAGCACAAUGGAUAUAUACAAAUUAGUUUUACUGAUUAGCUUGAUGGCGACUGAUAUGUACGCUGCAGAUUCUUGUGCAACAGUGAAUCAAAAUUGCUCUUUAUUCGAGUUGAAUACAGACCUGGUAUCGGUACAAAAUUUGACAGAUAAGGAUGUGACGUCAGAUGAAUGGUUUAUGGUUUACGGAUCGGACUUCACUGCUGUUCAAACGUAUGGAAGGUGUAUUUACAAAUGGACACCUUCAGAACAAAGUAGCGUAAUAGAAAGGCAACUUAUGUGCUACAAUUUUAAACUGAAGAAAUGUGAAAAAUUUUUAUUCAGAGGUCACGUGGUUCGAUGACGAAUGUGGAAGAGCUAAAGAACUAAACGGUAAUAAUACAAUGAUGGGAAAGUUUUACACCCAAGAUCCUCGUCAGUAUUUAUUCUAUUACACGUGCUACUAUUCUACAGACCCGGAUAUUUGUGACGUCGACUAUCUUGAUAUUAUACUCCGAAAAAAACAACACAAAGAUUCCGCGACUAAUGAACUUGAUUUGGGGCAAGUUCCGUGGCAUAUGAUAGCUGCAGAUUUGAAGAAUAUCUAUAACAUGGAGUUUACCAAUGACAAAGUUAUGUUUCAAGCUAAAGGACCAGUUUGCGAUUUUAAUGGAAACAUUGUAACAAACGCUGCUGGACGAUGGAGACUUGAACAGUUUGUAUUGCUGAUUGUUUUGCUGCCGAUUUACAUUUACAGUAUCCCUAUGUAUUAUUAAAAUAUAAAUACUCCGACAGAAUGACUAAAUGGCAAACAGAUGAAAUGUUUGAUUAAAAAAUGUUAGAUAAACUUACAUGCGUGUGUCUGUGUGUGUGUGUGUGUAUAAUUCAUAGCGCAAUUGACAAAAUUACAAGAUAUAUUUGUUGCUCUUACCUAAUGUAGUAAUUCAAAUGUGCGCUUGAAUAGAGAACGAGGUUCAUUUCCGUAAAGGUACAUUAUAAAAUAAGGCGCAUACUUGAAGCAUUACUGAUUCAUUAUUUUCCUGUUAAUUCCAUCUGUAAGAAAUACCAGUACAAUAAAAAUAUACAAUUUAAAAGGUAA
RNA transcript from Ruditapes philippinarum (Manila clam), 1312 nucleotides. RefSeq lists it as uncharacterized. The record is from RefSeq and is a predicted model, not a curated record. The transcript has 7 exons. Lineage: Eukaryota; Metazoa; Mollusca; Bivalvia; Venerida; Veneridae.